UACGUAGGCAGCAAGCGUUGUUCGGAGUUACUGGGCGUAAAGGGUGUGUAGGCGGUUCUUUAAGUUUGGUGUGAAAUCUCCCGGCUCAACUGGGAGGGUGCGCCGAAAACUGGAGGACUAGAGUGCGGGAUGGGAGAGUGGAAUUCCUGGUGUAGCGGUGAAAUGCGUAGAUAUCAGGAGGAACACCUGUGGUGUAGACGGCUCUCUGGACCGCAACUGACGCUGAGACACGAAAGCGUGGGUAGCAAACAGG
RNAcentral lists this ribosomal RNA (253 nucleotides) under uncultured bacterium. RNAcentral describes it as "partial 16S ribosomal RNA". It matches the Rfam family "Bacterial small subunit ribosomal RNA", at positions 524 to 776 of the family's 1533-position model. The record is from RNAcentral.